Long non-coding RNA from Odocoileus virginianus texanus, 934 nucleotides. RefSeq lists it as uncharacterized. NCBI's taxonomy places the organism in Eukaryota, Metazoa, Chordata, Mammalia, Artiodactyla, Cervidae. The record is from RefSeq and is a predicted model, not a curated record.
UAGGCCCCUGGGGCAAACAGGUGGAGUUUGUUGUCUGUGGAUGGAUGCUCCAAGAGGAAAAUAGCAGGACAAGAGUGGGAGAAGGCUGGGCCCUGCCCAGAUGAGACCACAUAUUCCUCAUUCUUGAAAUUAGGGAGAGCUCUCUGACUACACAUGUGCAGAUAGCUUCUUUGGAGAUCAAAAGACGGGGCGUAUCACCUCAUAGGGCAGCUACUACAGUUUCGGGGUCUGCUUUGACCACUACUCAUCCACCAUCUGCAAUAUGGAUCCUACUUUCUGGAGUAAGACCACUUAUCUUCGGUUUCCAGGGCUACCCUCACGUCUGACCAAGUGAUCACAAACUUGGGGUUCCCAGUACACCUCUGUUUUGACAACUGUCCAGAAAAACUCAUAGAACUCAGGAAAAUAUUUUACUUAUGAGAAGACUUUUAUUGGAGCAAAAAAAAAAAGAAAGAAAGAAAGGAUGUGAAUGAGAACCAGACAAAAGAAGAGGUACAUAGGGUGAGGUCUGAGGGAGUUCCAAACAAGCAGCUUCCAGCGUCAUCUCCAAGUGCAGUCAGAAUGCAUCACGGUCCCAGAACAUCAAUGUGUAGCAACAUGCACACAAUACUGCCAACGAGAUAGUUCCUAAAGCUUUGAUGUACGAAGUUCUCCUGGGACGUCGUCACAUGAGCCAGACUGACUGAGUCAGAGGCUACAUGAUUGAACUACACGCUCUUCCCUCUGGAGGCCCAGUCGCUGUUACAUGGCUUAAAGCCCCAGCUCUCUAAUGACAUGAUGAGAUCUGAAAUAUUCCUGCCACAGAGCCAAACUGGCUUCCUGCUUCAGGGUUAUUGGAGAAAGACUGCACCUCUGUGACUGGCGGUUUCAACCUGGACACACUCCAUCUGCACCUAGGAACAAAACUGCCUUUAACCCCGAUAAUUAAACUCUA